UACGGGGGGGGCGAGCGUUGUUCGGAAUUACUGGGCGUAAAGGGUUUGUAGGUGGUCUGCUAAGUCAGACGUGAAAUCCCUCAGCUUAACUGGGGAACUGCGUCUGAUACUGGCGGACUUGAGGACAGGAGAGGAACGCGGAAUUCCAGGUGUAGCGGUGAAAUGCGUAGAUAUCUGGAGGAACACCGGUGGCGAAGGCGGCGUUCUGGACUGUUUCUGGCACUGAAAAACGAAAGCCAGGGGAGCAAACGGG
RNAcentral lists this ribosomal RNA (253 nucleotides) under uncultured bacterium. RNAcentral describes it as "partial 16S ribosomal RNA". It matches the Rfam family "Bacterial small subunit ribosomal RNA", at positions 524 to 776 of the family's 1533-position model. The record is from RNAcentral.